GACGAACGCUGGCGGCGUGCUUAACACAUGCAAGUCGAACGGAAAGGCCCUGCUUUUGUGGGGUGCUCGAGUGGCGAACGGGUGAGUAACACGUGAGUAACCUGCCCUUGACUUUGGGAUAACUUCAGGAAACUGGGGCUAAUACCGGAUAGGAGCUCCUGCUGCAUGGUGGGGGUUGGAAAGUUUCGGCGGUUGGGGAUGGACUCGCGGCUUAUCAGCUUGAUGGUGGGGUAGUGGCUUACCAAGGCUUUGACGGGUAGCCGGCCUGAGAGGGUGACCGGCCACAUUGGGACUGAGAGACGGCGCAGACUCCUACGGGAGGCAGCAGUGGGGAAUAUUGCACAAUGGGCGGAAGCCAGAUGCAGCAACGCCGCGUGCGUGAUGACGGCCUUCGGGUUGUAAACCGCUUUCGCCUGUGACAAAGCGUGAGUGACGGUAAUGGGUAAAGAAGCACCGGCUAACUACGUG
This 468-nucleotide ribosomal RNA is filed under the name uncultured bacterium. Its description in RNAcentral is "partial 16S ribosomal RNA". It matches the Rfam family "Bacterial small subunit ribosomal RNA", at positions 28 to 507 of the family's 1533-position model. The record is from RNAcentral.